AAACCCAACAAGCCGAACCAAUAACAGAGGAAAAUACUCGUUUGACCUUGUAAAAGCCGUCCACUCCACCACUAUGGAAGCAGCAGACUCUUCUUUCGCUACUUUGAAAAAUCAUUAAUUCAAAACUCUGCAGCUCAUGGUAUCCCCAAAAUAAUUAACCCAAACUCCCAUGCCAGUAACCACUUCAAACAAUCCUCAAAUCUCCAGCUUCCCUUUUCAUCUAACAUCUCCAUAAAUCAAGCCGUUAACGCCUCUUUUUGCUUUUUUUCUGGUUUUUAUUUGAUUCCUUCUCUACCUCUCUUUCUUGACCUGAUCUUUGUCAAAACCGCCUCUUUUUGAAGAUUUGUGUUCUGUGUUUUUGAUAUUAAGUCUUUUAUCUGAGAAGAUUUCUGGGUUUUGUGUUGGUCCGCCGUGUGGUUAAUCCAUGGCGGACUUGGUGAAGCAAAUCUUGACAAAGCCUAUCCAAUUAGCUGACCAAAUAAUCAAAGCUGCUGAUGAAGCCAGUGCUUUCAAACAAGACUGCGCUGAACUCAAAUCCAAGACUGAAAAGCUCGCCGCUUUACUCCGGCAAGCCGCUCGAGCCAGCUCCGACCUGUACGAGCGGCCUACGCGCCGGAUCAUUGACGACACAGAGCAAGUCCUUGAAAAGGCUCUGGCCCUGGUGCAAAAAUGCCGAGCUAACGGCCUCAUGAAACGCGUUUUCAUUAUAAUCCCGACAGCCGCGUUUCGUAAAAUGUCGUCUCAGUUGGAAAAUUCGAUCGGUGAUGUGUCGUGGCUUUUGCGUGUAUCGGCGUCGGCUGAUGAUCGUGACGACGAGUAUUUGGGAUUGCCUCCGAUUGCUGCUAACGAGCCAAUUCUUUGUCUUAUAUGGGAACAAAUUGCGAUUCUCUAUACUGGGUCACUGGAUGAUAGAUCCGAUGCCGCGGCUUCGCUGGUUUCGCUGGCAAGAGACAACGAUCGCUACGGGAAGCUGAUUAUUGAAGAGGGAGGAAUUCCGCCUCUGCUGAAAUUGGUCAAAGAAGGGAAGAUGGAAGGCCAAGAGAACGCCGCAAGAGCGAUUGGUCUACUGGGUCGUGACCGGGAGAGUGUCGAAUACAUGAUCCACGCAGGUGUUUGUAUUGUAUUUGCGAAAAUACUCAAAGAAGGUCCUAUGAAAGUUCAGGCAGUAGUGGCUUGGGCUGUUUCUGAGCUCGCAGCGAAUUAUCCCACAUGCCAAGAUCUUUUUGCGCAGCACAAUAUCAUUCGGUUGCUAGUUGGUCAUCUUGCAUUUGAGACGGUUCAAGAGCAUAGUAAGUAUGCCAUUACUAGUCACAAAGCCACUUCGAUCCAUGCGGUUCUGAUGGCUAGUAAUAGUUCGCCUACUGCUCAUAAUGUGAUAAAUCCAACAGUUGAUGAUGAUCCGUGUCGAAUUCCUCAUCCUAUGGGUAAUCAGACUCCAAAUCAGUUGCACAAUGUGGUCACCAAUACUAUGGCUUUGAACACAGCCUCCAAGCCGCCACAGCAACGAGCUGGUUGUAGUAGUAAUGGAGCCAGUCAAACCAACAUUUCCAAGAUCAAUAGCAAUGGAAACAACAGUAUGAAGCAAAAUCAUCAGCCUCACCAUCAACAGAGUCCUUCGCUUUCUGGGGUUAACAUUAAGGGCAGGGAGCUUGAAGACCCUGCCACUAAGGCUAACAUGAAAGCAAUGGCAGCUAGAGCACUUUGGCAUCUUGCCAAGGGAAAUUCUCCUAUUUGCCGCAUCAUAACUGAAUCAAGAGCACUCUUGUGCUUUGCAGCUCUAUUGGAGAAGGGAGCUGAAGAUGUUCAAUUCAAUUCCGCCAUGGCAUUGAUGGAGAUCACUGCAGUAGCAGAGAAAGAUGCUGAUUUGAGAAGAUCAGCAUUCAAGCCUAAUUCGCCUGCAUGCAAAGCUGUUAUUGAUCAGUUGCUGAAAAUCAUCGAAAAAGCUGAUUCUAACCUCCUUAUACCAUGCAUCAAGGCUAUAGGGAAUCUAGCAAGGACAUUUCGAGCAACAGAAACCAGAAUGAUUGCCCCAUUGGUUAAUCUUCUAGACGAGAGAGAAGAUGAGGUUUCCAGGGAGGCUUCAAUUGCUCUCACUAAGUUUGCUUGCACAGAAAACUAUCUCCACCUUGAUCAUUCCAAGGCAAUCAUACAAGCUGGAGGGGAAAAACACCUAAUCCAGCUUGUCUAUUUCGGUGACCAAGUAGUUCAACUCUCCGCUUUGUAUCUCCUAAGCUGCAUUGCUAUGCACGUUCCAGACAGCGAGGAGCUUGCAAAGGCUAAGGUGCUUACAGUGCUAGAAUGGGCAUCCAAGCAAUCGUUUGUGAGUCAAGAUGAAAUAAUUGAAGCAUUGCUAGAAGACGCCAAAAGCAAAUUGGAGCUUUAUCAGUCCAGAGGUUCAAGGGGAUUCCAUUGAUUUCUAUCAAUAGUAUAUAGUCUUUUAUAAUUUUCUUGUUUAUUUUUUGUAGCAGUGUCAUACUAAUGGAGUGUACAUACAAUUAGUUUUCUUCUUUUAUAUAAUAUGUUUCGAAGCGUUUGAUCCUUUUCAUAGCUGCAGCUUCAUGCUAUGAAUUUUAUGUUCACUGUGGGUACUUGGGAUCCUUACAUUAAAUUAAACUCUUAUAACUGCAGGUCGAUUGAAGUUUGGAAACUUGGGCAGUUCCCUCCCUCCCUCACCCAUUUUCUUGUUUCUCAAUAAUAAUAUUUGAUUUAGUA
RNAcentral lists this unclassified non-coding RNA (2712 nucleotides) under Hevea brasiliensis (rubber tree). The record is from RNAcentral. Lineage: Eukaryota; Viridiplantae; Streptophyta; Magnoliopsida; Malpighiales; Euphorbiaceae.